UCCACGCCGUAAACGAUGGUCACUCGUUGCUGGUGAUAUACAAUCAGUGACUGAGCGGAAGCAUUAAGUGACCCACCUGGGGAGUACGUUCGCAAGAAUGAAACUCAAAGGAAUUGACGGGGGCCCGCACAAGCGGAGGAACAUGUGGUUUAAUUCGAUGAUACGCGAGGAACCUUACCUGGGCUUAAAUGGGAGCGUCUUCGGGCUAGUUCUUCGAAAGAAGACUUAAACUUUCAAGG
RNAcentral lists this ribosomal RNA (239 nucleotides) under uncultured bacterium. RNAcentral's name for it is "partial 16S ribosomal RNA". It matches the Rfam family "Bacterial small subunit ribosomal RNA", at positions 794 to 1025 of the family's 1533-position model. The record is from RNAcentral.